Molecule: transfer RNA, 73 nt
Filed under: Strigamia maritima
Lineage: Eukaryota; Metazoa; Arthropoda; Chilopoda; Geophilomorpha; Linotaeniidae
Description: tRNA-Arg for anticodon UCU
Rfam family: tRNA
About the family: Transfer RNA (tRNA) molecules are approximately 80 nucleotides in length. Their secondary structure includes four short double-helical elements and three loops (D, anti-codon, and T loops).
Source: Rfam by way of RNAcentral
GUCCCUAUAGCGCAGUGGAUAGCGCGCUGGACUUCUAAUCCAGAGGCCCCGGGUUCGAAUCCCGGUAGGGAUG